GGAAUCGCUAGUAAUCGCAGAUCAGAAUGCUGCGGUGAAUACGUUCCCGGGUCUUGUACACACCGCCCGUCACACCAUGGGAGUCGGAAAUGCCCGAAGUCAGUGGCCCAACCGCAAGGAGGGAGCUGCCGAAGGCAGGUCCGGUGACUGGGGUGAAGUCGUAACAAGGUAAC
Molecule: ribosomal RNA, 173 nt
Filed under: uncultured bacterium
Lineage: Bacteria
Description: partial 16S ribosomal RNA
Rfam family: Bacterial small subunit ribosomal RNA
Source: RNAcentral